Molecule: small RNA, 477 nt
Filed under: Fusarium incarnatum
Lineage: Eukaryota; Fungi; Ascomycota; Sordariomycetes; Hypocreales; Nectriaceae
Description: eukaryotic LSU rRNA
Rfam family: 5.8S ribosomal RNA (bases 168-321)
Source: RNAcentral
CCUGCGGAGGGAUCAUUACCGAGUUUACAACUCCCAAACCCCUGUGAACAUACCUAUACGUUGCCUCGGCGGAUCAGCCCGCGCCCCGUAAAACGGGACGGCCCGCCCGAGGACCCCUAAACUCUGUUUUUAGUGGAACUUCUGAGUAAAACAAACAAAUAAAUCAAAACUUUCAACAACGGAUCUCUUGGUUCUGGCAUCGAUGAAGAACGCAGCAAAAUGCGAUAAGUAAUGUGAAUUGCAGAAUUCAGUGAAUCAUCGAAUCUUUGAACGCACAUUGCGCCCGCCAGUAUUCUGGCGGGCAUGCCUGUUCGAGCGUCAUUUCAACCCUCAAGCUCAGCUUGGUGUUGGGACUCGCGGUAACCCGCGUUCCCCAAAUCGAUUGGCGGUCACGUCGAGCUUCCAUAGCGUAGUAAUCAUACACCUCGUUACUGGUAAUCGUCGCGGCCACGCCGUUAAACCCCAACUUCUGAAUGU